GGGGCACUACGAGCAGGGGUAUCAUGAGUACCAAAAGCAAGGAGACGCGCCGUAGGGAGAGCCAAGCUACGACCCACUUUAAGAUGCCUUGGCCAAGAGACUGAAGGGGACGAAUAAAAAUACACACGUGUGGUUUGAGUUUUCUUUUCUUUUCCCUUUAUUUAUUUAUUUUAGCAUGUGUGUUGGGUGUGCGUAGUAUUUUUGUUUUAUUUUCUCUUUACUUUCAGUUUUUGUGCUUC
This 239-nucleotide long non-coding RNA is filed under the name Setaria italica (foxtail millet). Its description in RNAcentral is "long non-coding RNA (SITA_LNC000331)". The record is from RNAcentral. Lineage: Eukaryota; Viridiplantae; Streptophyta; Magnoliopsida; Poales; Poaceae.